UACCAGCACCCCGAGUGGUCGGGACGAUUAUUGGGCCUAAAGCAUCCGUAGCCGGUUCUACAAGUCUUCCGUUAAAUCCACCUGCUCAACGGAUGGGCUGCGGAGGAUACCGCAGAGCUAGGAGGCGGGAGAGGCAAACGGUACUCAGUGGGUAGGGGUAAAAUCCAUUGAUCUACUGAAGACCACCAGUGGCGAAGGCGGUUUGCCAGAACGCGCUCGACGGUGAGGGAUGAAAGCUGGGGGAGCAAACCGG
This 253-nucleotide ribosomal RNA is filed under the name uncultured bacterium. RNAcentral describes it as "partial 16S ribosomal RNA". It matches the Rfam family "Archaeal small subunit ribosomal RNA", at positions 474 to 727 of the family's 1478-position model. The record is from RNAcentral.